Long non-coding RNA from Ochotona curzoniae (black-lipped pika), 514 nucleotides. RefSeq lists it as uncharacterized. The record is from RefSeq and is a predicted model, not a curated record. The transcript is spliced from 3 exons. Lineage: Eukaryota; Metazoa; Chordata; Mammalia; Lagomorpha; Ochotonidae.
GAAGUGUUAUUAGGCUGCACGCUGGCUUUGUGGAAGAGGGGUGCAGAAUCUGUGACUUGCCUUGAGAGAGAACAAUUCUGGCUCUUACGGUUUACCCCACGAGAGAAGGAGGUGUGGCAGUAGGGAGGAUUUAUACAACUUCUUAACCCUGGGGACCUCAGAUCCCAGGAGACAAGGAGGUGCUUCCUUCCUCGGGGCGGCCAGGAGGUGUCCUAAGCCAGUGAGCAACACAGAGACUGCUUAACUUCACACCAAGCCGAAAAGGAACAUUCGUACUCUUCAUCCCAAGCUCAAGGGAAGUCACACACACACACACAGUCACGUCCAAGUCCAGAAGAACAGGGUUGACUGGAGCAGUUGGUGGUGAAGGCUAGUAGCCUCUGCCACACAGGUGCCUGUUUUAGCUUUGAUGAACACGUGAAGAACCUGAAGCAAACAAUGGGGUGAAGUCAUCUGCCCAAGGUCGCACACCUGGUAAGUGGUUGAUGCAAGAUUUAGACAUGCCCUUUGUAGA